AGGUGAACAGGCGAUCGCGUGCCCCCGUGGGCAUGAGGAAAGUCCGGGCACCGCAGAGCAAGGGUGCCGGCUAACGGCCGGCGGAGGCGACUCCAGGGAGAGUGCAACAGAAACAAACCGCCGGGAACUCCGGCGGACGGGUCUCCGGAUCCGUCCCCGCCCGGUAAGGAUGGAAAGGCGAGGUAAGAGCUCACCCGCGGGCCUGGCAACUUGUCCGCGCUGUAAACCCCACCCGGUGCAAGAUGCGGGAUUUCGUCGGUUGCUCGCCGCAUAUCCCGCGAUCGCUCGAUCCCUUCGGCAACGAUGGGACUGGAUAGAUGAUCGCUUUAUACAGAACCCGGCUUAUGGUCACGCUC
Molecule: RNase P RNA, 356 nt
Filed under: bovine gut metagenome
Description: Bacterial RNase P class A
Rfam family: Bacterial RNase P class A
About the family: Ribonuclease P (RNase P) is a ubiquitous endoribonuclease, found in archaea, bacteria and eukarya as well as chloroplasts and mitochondria.
Source: RNAcentral